AACGAACGCUGGCGGCAUGCCUAACACAUGCAAGUCGAACGAGACCUUCGGGUCUAGUGGCGCACGGGUGCGUAACGCGUGGGAACCUGCCCUUAGGUUCGGAAUAACUCCCCGAAAGGGGUGCUAAUACCGGAUAAUGUCUUCGGACCAAAGAUUUAUCGCCUUUGGAUGGGCCCGCGUUGGAUUAGCUAGUUGGUAGGGUAAAAGCCUACCAAGGCGACGAUCCAUAGCUGGUCUGAGAGGAUGAUCAGCCACACUGGGACUGAGACACGGCCCAGACUCCUACGGGAGGCAGCAGUGGGGAAUAUUGGAAAAUGGGCGAAAGCCUGAUCAAGCAAUGCCGGGUGAGUGAUGAAGGCCUUAGGGUUGUAAAGCUCUUUUACCCGGGAUAAUAAUGACAGUACCGGGAGAAUAAGCUCCGGCUAACUCCGUG
Molecule: ribosomal RNA, 433 nt
Filed under: uncultured bacterium
Lineage: Bacteria
Description: partial 16S ribosomal RNA
Rfam family: Bacterial small subunit ribosomal RNA
Source: RNAcentral